This 566-nucleotide long non-coding RNA is filed under the name Lupinus angustifolius (narrow-leaved blue lupine). Its description in RNAcentral is "long non-coding RNA (LANG_LNC003128)". The record is from RNAcentral. Lineage: Eukaryota; Viridiplantae; Streptophyta; Magnoliopsida; Fabales; Fabaceae.
AAUUUCUCUCUGUGGCUAGUUACAUGAGUACGAGGAUGCGUGUCGUUAAAUUAGCUUUUUUAUUGGUUUUGAUCAUGGCAUCAGGUUAGAAAUAAUUUUGUUUUACAUUCAACCUCCAAUUUGUCUUGCCUAUUGUAAGAAUCAAGUUUCCAUAUAAUAAAUUUUUUCCUACUCCGCUCUAUUUAAACCUUCAAAUUUUACUUCAAUUAUAUUUAUGUAUAAUACAUUAUUUUGUGUUCAUGUACAACUUGUUUAACUACAGAUAUGUGCAAAGCAUCAAAUGCUCGUGAUGGCAAUGUGCAAAUUCACUAUGUGCCUGUUCGGUGUUCCUCAGACCAACGCUGUCGAAGGUAUUUUGGUCCAAUAUGCAAAUGUGUAAGGGGAUACUGUCGUUGCCUAGAAGCAAAACUGUUUUACAAAUAUCGCAAGCAGACAUCCCAAGAAUGAGUACUAAAACCUUGUAAUGCAAUCAAAGAGUGUGGGUAAAGAAUCAAGACCAGGAAGAGAAUAUGAAUGAAUUACAUGAUAUUGAAUUAAGUUGAUUGAAUAGAAAAACUAUAAUGAAG